Andrographis paniculata is the source of this 1054-nucleotide RNA transcript. RefSeq lists it as uncharacterized. The record is from RefSeq and is a predicted model, not a curated record. The transcript is spliced from 2 exons. Lineage: Eukaryota; Viridiplantae; Streptophyta; Magnoliopsida; Lamiales; Acanthaceae.
UUACCUUAACUAGUGCAUAAAUGGAGCGAAGGCUUAGAGAUGGUGUCAAGCCCGUCAUCGCUCAUCUCAUCCCGCCGAUAGUUUUGUCUACUAGUUUCGGUACUGAAUUUUGUAUGUUUAUUGAUGUGGUUUUUUAAUUUUCGAUUUAGAUUUCGUAGUUCGUUUCCUAAGUUUGAAGUUUUGAUGGUUUUUGUUUCAAAGGAUUAUUGGAGAUUGCAGUGAUAGGGAAGAGGAAACAUCUAUAUGUUCCAAAAAUUGACACUAAAUAACAAUACUUGCGGGUUUAGAUCUCCUGCCCACAAAUGAAUACUUUGAGGUUUUAGGAAAAAUUGAUAUUUAGGAUUUCCCCUUAGUCUUAUGGGUAAAUCGAAUUGGGUUUCUGCGGACUGGAGCAGAUGCUUGAAGAAACUGGGCAAUUUUGUAGGCAAUUGUAUUUGUAGCUCAAAUUGAAGGCCACCCAGUUGGCUUAUUUUUUUUAAUGAUACAUGUAUUUUGUCUUCGAUAAUUGGCAAUUGAAGGGACUCUGAAUAAACAACGAGUAUUUGAACAAUUAGGUUGUGCUAAGGAUCCCUUGAUUUUUUGGUUCUUUAUAAUAAUUAGAGUAACUGAUGUGUGAAGAGGUUGCUUUGAUAAGCUCUAUCUUGUUGAAGUUGUGAAGUUUUUAGCAAUAUGUUGCUCGUGCUUGUAUGUCUUCUGGGUAUAUAGUUAGUGACAAAUUUAGAGACGUGAAGACGCUGCUUUGGAAGUAGACAGCCCAUGCCCAUGCCCAUGCCCAUGCUACCAACAUGGGAGAAAAACAUUUGCAAAGUAGGAGGAUCGUUUGACUGGGGCAAAGCAAUUAUUAAAGAGCUACAUCAUGCAGCAUGGAUGACGAAGAAUGUAAUAGCUGCCGUGCCUUGUUGGCCAUUAAUUCAGAGUAACAGGCUGACAAGGUCGAUAGCAGCUGCACUUUUAACUGUGAUGUUAAAAUUCAUGUUAAGCUAAAAUUCAUAUGGUUUUGGCUUGAGGUUUAAGUAGCCUAAUUAUAAUAUAAUAAUUAUUACAUCGUUUCAAA